GCCAGACUCCUACGGGAGGCAGCAGUGAGGAAUAUUGGUCAAUGGUCGGGAGACUGAACCAGCCAAGCCGCGUGAGGGAGGAAGGUACAGAGUAUCGUAAACCUCUUUUGUCAGGGAACAAAGGCGGGGACGUGUCCCCGGAUGAGUGUACCUGAAGAAAAAGCAUCGGCUAACUCCGUGCCAGCAGCCGCGGUAAUACGGAGGAUGCGAGCGUUAUCCGGAUUUAUUGGGUUUAAAGGGUGCGCAGGCGGUCUGUUAAGUCAGCGGUCAAAGCCCGGGGCUCAACCUCGCUCCGCCGUUGAAACUGGCGUUCUUGAGUGGGCGAGAAGUAUGCGGAAUGCGUGGUGUAGCGGUGAAAUGCAUAGAUAUCACGCAGAACUCCGAUUGCGAAGGCAGCAUACCGGCGCCCAACUGACGCUGAAGCACGAAAGCGUGGGUAUCGAACAGGAUUAGAUACCCGGGUACU
This 466-nucleotide ribosomal RNA is filed under the name uncultured bacterium. Its description in RNAcentral is "bacterial SSU rRNA". It matches the Rfam family "Bacterial small subunit ribosomal RNA", at positions 330 to 794 of the family's 1533-position model. The record is from RNAcentral.